Triticum aestivum (bread wheat) is the source of this 135-nucleotide non-coding RNA. Lineage: Eukaryota; Viridiplantae; Streptophyta; Magnoliopsida; Poales; Poaceae. The record is from Rfam.
UCUGUACUUCCUCCGUCCGAAAAUAUUUGUCAUCAAAAUGGAUAAAAAGAGAUGUAUCUAGAACUAAAAUACAUCUAGAUACAUCCCCUUUUAUCCAGUUUGAAGACAACUAUUUUCGGACGGAGUGACUACUAA